This 254-nucleotide ribosomal RNA is filed under the name uncultured bacterium. RNAcentral describes it as "partial 16S ribosomal RNA". It matches the Rfam family "Bacterial small subunit ribosomal RNA", at positions 524 to 776 of the family's 1533-position model. The record is from RNAcentral.
UACGUAGGGGGCAAGCGUUGUCCGGAUUUAUUGGGCGUAAAGAGCUCGUAGGCGGUUUGGUAAGUCAGGUGUGAAAUCUCCACGCUCAACGUGGAGGGGCCACCUGAUACUGCCAUGACUGGAGUCCGGUAGAGGAGUGUGGAAUUCCCGGUGUAGCGGUGAAAUGCGCAGAUAUCGGGAGGAACACCGAUGGCGAAGGCAGUUCUCUGGGCCGUAACUGACGCUGAGGAGCGAAAGCGUGGGGAGCGAACAGG